GACGGAGGAGGCAAGCGUUAUCCGGAAUUAUUGGGCGUAAAGCGUCCGUAGGUGGUUAAUCAAGUCUUUUGUUAAAGGUUGGAGCUUAACUCUGAUUAGGCGGAAGAAACUGAUUGACUUGAGGAUGGUAGGGGUAGAGGGAAUUCCAGGUGUAGCGGUGAAAUGCGUAGAUAUCUGGAAGAACACCAGUGGCGAAGGCGCUCUACUGGGCCAUUACUGACACUGAGGGACGAAAGCUAGGGGAGCGAAAGGG
RNAcentral lists this ribosomal RNA (253 nucleotides) under uncultured prokaryote. RNAcentral's name for it is "partial 16S ribosomal RNA". It matches the Rfam family "Bacterial small subunit ribosomal RNA", at positions 524 to 776 of the family's 1533-position model. The record is from RNAcentral.